This 533-nucleotide ribosomal RNA is filed under the name uncultured bacterium. Its description in RNAcentral is "bacterial SSU rRNA". It matches the Rfam family "Bacterial small subunit ribosomal RNA", at positions 27 to 531 of the family's 1533-position model. The record is from RNAcentral.
GGACGAACGCUGGCGGCGUGCCUAAUACAUGCAAGUCGAACGGUCUUUUCUAUGGAAGCUUGCUUCCACUGAGAAGAUAGUGGCGAACGGGUGAGUAACACGUGGGUAACCUGCCCAUAAGAGGGGGAUAACAUCCGGAAACGGGUGCUAAUACCGCAUAGUUUUCUUGAUCGCAUGAUCGGGAAAGGAAAGACGGCCUUUGUGCUGUCGCUUAUGGAUGGACCCCGCGGCGUAUUAGUUAGUUGGUGAGGUAACGGCUCACCAAGACGAUGAUACGUAGCCGACCUGAGAGGGUGAUCGGCCACAUUGGGACUGAGACACGGCCCAAACUCCUACGGGAGGCAGCAGUAGGGAAUCUUCCGCAAUGGACGAAAGUCUGACGGAGCAACGCCGCGUGAGUGAAGAAGGUUUUCGGAUCGUAAAACUCUGUUGUCAGAGAAGAACAAGUUGGAGAGUAACUGCUCCAGCCUUGACGGUAUCUGACCAGAAAAGCCACGGCUAACUACGUGCCAGCAGCCGCGGUAAUACGUAGG